Molecule: transfer RNA, 72 nt
Filed under: Heterocephalus glaber (naked mole-rat)
Lineage: Eukaryota; Metazoa; Chordata; Mammalia; Rodentia; Bathyergidae
Rfam family: tRNA
About the family: Transfer RNA (tRNA) molecules are approximately 80 nucleotides in length. Their secondary structure includes four short double-helical elements and three loops (D, anti-codon, and T loops). Further hydrogen bonds mediate the characteristic L-shaped molecular structure. tRNAs have two regions of fundamental functional importance: the anti-codon, which is responsible for specific mRNA codon recognition, and the 3' end, to which the tRNAs corresponding amino acid is attached (by aminoacyl-tRNA synthetases). tRNAs cope with the degeneracy of the genetic code in two manners: having more than one tRNA (with a specific anti-codon) for a particular amino acid; and 'wobble' base-pairing, i.e. permitting non-standard base-pairing at the 3rd anti-codon position.
Source: Rfam by way of RNAcentral
UACGGUGUGGCUCAGAGGUAGAGCACUUGCCUAGCAGGUAGAAGGCCCUGGGUUUGAUUCCCAGUACCACAA